Bubalus bubalis (water buffalo) is the source of this 3312-nucleotide long non-coding RNA. RefSeq lists it as uncharacterized. The transcript has 2 exons. Lineage: Eukaryota; Metazoa; Chordata; Mammalia; Artiodactyla; Bovidae. The record is from RefSeq and is a predicted model, not a curated record.
GGCGCCCCUCCCCCAUUCCCCUCUCCGGUUAUUUUAGAGCCUGGGCUGCCAGCGGCUGGCCCCGGGUUUCCACGUGCCUCCUCCCUCCCUCUGCCCACGCUCCCCGUGACGCACAUCCUCCGCCCACGCAGCCUCUGCUCAAGGCGCCCCCCUCCCUCCCACCCGGUCCCCCUUGGGCCGGUGCCGAGCCCGGGGAUCCGGGGGGAGUCGCGGGCCAGCGGGGGAAGAGGGUGGAAUAGGGCGUGAAGCAAGGGGGCGGUAACCGACUGGGCGCUCGGCCUUGGGUCCCGGCCCAGGAAAGAGAACGCGGAAGGGACCUGAUCCUAGGGCCGGUACUAGGCCAGAGAGGGAAGAGGGGAGAAAAACCCCGCACACUGGGCCAGCCCAUGCCCCUCGGGGUCAGAAGAAAUCUGUUUGGGUGCGAACGUGUGUUUGAGAGUGAAACUCCCGAGUGUUUGUAUCUUUGUUUCUCAGGGUUGUCGUGAGGUUCAAGUGAGAGUGUAUAUGAAAACUGUAAAUUGUGAAAUACUCAGAAGCAAAUUUAAGACGUUAUUCCCAGUUUGUACUUCUGUACCCCGAGGUUGUGUAUCUAUACGUUUCUUUACAUCUACUUGUGUGUCUGUGUCUCUAGGUUUGUGAGCCCCUCUGCGUGGAUUUAAAAAUAUGUACAUUUUAAAAACCAUUGACUUGUCAGGCCCCGCCAGAGGCCCAGACUCCCCCGCAGCCGGAGCUGCUGAGAUGUCUGUUCUUCGCUUCCCUCCCACUCCUACCACCUCCAACUCCCCUCCUCCUCCCUUCCGUUGAGAACAAGGAAUUUCCAGCCCUUAGCAAAUGGAGAGAGAAACAAAGAGACCAAGAUUAAGAGAAACUACGGAAAAACAACAAAGACAAGAGACAGAGUGGUAACAAACUUCGGACAAGAUGGUUGGAUGGCAUCACCAACUCAAUGGUCAUGAAUUUGAACAAGCUCCAGGACAUGGUGAAGGACAGGGAAGCCUGGCGUGCUGCAGUUCAUGGGGGUCACAAAGAGUCGGAUACGACUGAGCGACUGAACAACAAAAAUAACAACAAACUUUGAAUGGCACUGUUGUAGUUAAAAUUUGUUUCUUUUAUUUAAGUGAUAAGCAUAUGAGGUGCUCUGUGAGCACAGAGGAUGGCCUUGUUUGUGUUUUUAUUUAUUUGGCUGUGUUGGGUCUUGGUUGCAGCACUUGGGAUCUUCAUUGCAUCAUAGGGGAUCUUUCAUUCUGGGGCAUGAACUGUCUAGUUGUGGCUUAUGGGCUAAGCUGCUCUGUGGCAUGUAGGAUCUUAGUUCCUCAACUAGGCAUCAAACCUGCAUCCCCUGUAUUGCAAGGUGGAUUCUUAACCACUAGACCACCAGGAAGUCCCAAAAUUUGUUUCUAUACAUCCGUAUUUAGGUGAUAUUAGGACCAUGGGCCAUAAAGUAUCACAGGAGACGCCAUGGAACCAUAAAGACUGUAACAUGGGAGUGACAUGGUCAGAUCUAUAUUUAGGAGUGUUAUGGAGAAAAGGUUUUAUGGAAGUUAAAAGUGCAGAGAGGCCAACUUGAAGGAAACAAAAGUGCUCUGAGAGAGAUGGCAAGGUGCUAGACUAAAUCACUGAUGCUGGAGAUGGAGAGGAAAGGACAGAUUUAAAAGAUAGUCAUCAGGGCUUCCCUAGUGGCGCAGAGGUAAAGAAUCCACCUGCCAAUGCAGGAGCCAUGGGUUCUAUCACUGAUCCACGUGCUGCAGGGCAACUAACCUUGUGCUGCAACUAUUGAGCCUGUGUUGAAGAGCCCAGGAGCCACAACUACUGAAGCCCCCGUGCCCUAGAGGCCGUGCUUUACAAGAGAAGCCACUGCAAGAAGCCUACACACAGCAACUAGAGCGUAUCUCCUGUUCACUGCAACUAGAGAAAAGUCCACACAGCAAUGAAGACCCAGCAUAGUGAAAAGUCAAAAAUAAAUAGGUUAUUAUUUUUCAAAAAAAACUUUAAAAAAGAUCAUCGGGUAAUAUGAAUAGAACUUGAUGAUUGGCUAAAGGGUUAGGGGAAGAGAAGAGUUUAGAGUAACUCUCAGGCUUCUAGCUUGGGUGACUGAGUGGACAGAAUGGAGCAUCAUCAUCAGAUAGUCACCAUCUGCAGUCUUUUUCCUAAGUUAAGAAAGUUAUGAAAAAAAGUUAUGAAAACCAAAAAUUUUCAUAUCUCUUUUGACUACGAAACCUAAUCUGACUUGAACUUACUUUGUGGUGGACCUCCUAGCUUAUCAAGGCUGUAUAUUGUCAUCUUGCUUAUUUAAUUUACAUGCGGAGUACAGCAUGUGAAAUGCUGGACUGAAUGAAGCACAAGCUGGAAUCAAGAUUACAGGGAGAAAUAUCAAUAACCUCAGAUAAGCUGAUGAUACCACCCUUAUGGCAGAAAUCAAAGAGGAACUAAGGAGCCUCUUGAAAGUGAAAGAGGAGAGUGAAAUAGCUUAUUAAUACAUAAGGUUAUUUAUAGUUUCAUUUAUGCCACUUUCAUUUAUACCAAUGUGAAUAUUCAUCUCUCAUUGCAGAAACAUUCAUUUGUUUAUGAGGUACUGUCCCAGACCCCACUGAGAUUGCUGUCUUAUUUAUUGCAUAUGCACCAUAUUACAUUUUAAAAUCCAAAAAAAUUCUGAAACACAUUUGCGAUCCAGAUUUCCUGCCCCAUUUACUCAUCAGCGUUGGCCUGAGUUUUUUUGGCUAUUUGCAUAAAUCAGAUCCACCUGCAGAUAAUGAAUAUUCAUUGAAGUGUGUGCUAUAGACUCUGAAGAUGAUUCUCAAAGUGUUUUGAGCAGUGUUCAUAUUAUUAAAACAAGGCUAAAAGCUUCUUGAGUACCUGGAAGUAACGGAACUCAUUUGGAUGAUAAGGUUUCAUGUGUUUAUGGACAACCAGUUUUAUUACUGUACACUGCAUUUACAUAUUUUAACAGUCAGUGGUGGGAAUUCUCUGGAGGUCCAGUGGUUAGCACUCAUUGCUUUUACUGCCAGAUCUGGGUUCAAUCCCUGGUGGGGGAUUGAAAAAGAAAAAAGUAAAUGAUCCUCUGGAAUUAGUUGCCCUGUUCUCUGGCCUUUGUUCAAAACCAAUCUUGCAAGUUCUGAAUGCUGAGAAUUUGGGACCUGGUAGAAAAUGAAGUGUGUUUGUGUGUUGAGGGGUGUAGGUGUAUAAAUUAUUUUUUAAAAGUUUUAGACUUACAGAAAAAUUGAGAAGAUAGUACACAGUUGUCUUGUACUCCCCAUCCAGUUUCUACUGUUAUUAUCUUAACAUUAGUACUGUGUGUUUACCACCAUUAAUGAA